CAGCUCCAACACCCGGACGCGCUCCAUGCUCCCUCUGCCGCUCAACCUGCGUGUGGCACGCUGUCGCCGCCUAUUGGACUGGAGGAAUCCUACGGAGACAUAUUUAGCCACUCAAUUACUUUUUUAAAAUAAGAAACCGGCUGAUGGUUCCUGAAGGGGCUGGGGUCUGAAGGCGUGGAUUCUGGCUGUGAGUGGACAGGCGCUCCCUCAGACUGGACUGUGACGCACACUGGGACAGAUUCUGUGGCGCUUGCUCUUGUUUUCAUGAAGGUGGGUCCUUCUGGAAUUGUGUCAUCACAGUUUGGAUUGGAAAUCCAAUUCCCAUUAAAGGUUGAAUGUUUGGUAAUAUCUGACAGUGGCAGCUCACUUUCAUGCCCAGACAUCUGAACUCUUGCAGGAGGAUGUUGUGGGAUUUUUGAAGGGGCUCUCUGUUCUUGGAGGGGUUGAAUACAUGGAGUUUCCUCUUCAAAAACUUGACAUCCAUCUCUACGUCUCUGUGUUUGUGUUCCACGAGUGGGCUUGCCGGUCCCUGUGUAUGGAGCUGAGAACACCGGUUGGUGGUACUGCACCUCAGUGGGCAGCUUCUGCUCUGCUGCCUGCAGCAGAAGCUCUUCUACUUGUGUGGUCGUCAUCUGUCCAACAGGGUCUCUGUUCACUUUGCCCCCGUCUGACCGCAGUGCAAACACAGACUUUCGCCCGUCAUCAAACACCUUCAGACCCCUCUCUUGAAUGGAGUUUGGGUUUAUAGUUGCUGUGGAGACCACAUGACUCCUGCCUGUUUGCUGGUCGUGUUCAACACUGAUUUCUAUAGCGAAGGUGGCUGUAAAAGAGAAAACAUUCAAAUUCCAGGAUUUGACACACAAGACAUUAAAAAGAAACAAUCCAUGAACAUCAGAUUGGGGUUUGUUUGAAACAGUGAGAGAAUGACUGAGACGUGAUCUUCAAGCUGCUGUUAAAGUGAAUGGAGGAGCCCCCCCGCCCAUUUUAGCAUCCAGAAUUAUUUACUUUGCAGAAAUGUUCUGCUGACCAAAUGAAGCCAAAUCCUUUCUAGAACAUUCUGGCAGAGUGAGACUUAUUUCCUUUAGAGGAUCAGCCACACCUGUGAUCCUGAUCCUCAAGAACUCUGCUCCACUUGUUGCUCACCUGUCAGUGUUCUAGAAUGCACUCUUCAGCUCUGCAGAGCCCUGAGUGUGACUAACAGAGUUUUGAAUGAAGUGUGUGGGAGCAGAGAAAUGUGUCAUCCAUGCAGGACCACCGUUCACAGACUGUCCCCUCACACGCAGGCACGCUUUCAAUGAACACUUGUCUUACUGUUACAACCAAUAGGACAUUUGUUGCAUUCAAAUGCACUAGGAAGUUAGGUUUGUGACCACUCUAGUAAUUUACACAGUGACUUUAAAGAGUGGAGCUGGUGUGUCCAGAGCUGAGGUCCUGGACUAAGACUGAGAUCUGCUGCUCAGCAUGAGUCAUCUGCAGCUGUUCAUGCCUUUUCACAGCAGCUCCACAAACGGACAGGAAAAGGGAUUUCAUCCUUCGUUAUGCUUGACAGCAGCUCUUCUAUAUACUGAUUAACAACAUGCCCAGCAGCUGUUUUCUCCCACAUUUUCAGAAAAACCCACUGUUUUUUAUUCUAUUUUACAUGACUUCAAAACUAAAGUCCACAGACAUGUAUUCAUUCACAGUAAAAUGGAAUUGCUCCACAAUUAUAAUAAAAAAAUAAAAAAAA
This is a long non-coding RNA of Oryzias melastigma (Indian medaka), 1726 nucleotides long. RefSeq lists it as uncharacterized. NCBI's taxonomy places the organism in Eukaryota, Metazoa, Chordata, Actinopteri, Beloniformes, Adrianichthyidae. The transcript has 2 exons. The record is from RefSeq and is a predicted model, not a curated record.